UUGGCUAGAUUAACACAAAUCUCCACACUAAAGGCCAAUUUAUCUCAGCUUCUACUGCUCUCUACAACAAGCCCGCCUUUCAACAACAACAAUGACAACAAUGAUGAAGACAUACCAAAAGAUAAGCAAUAAAUACAGUCUAAAAAGAAAUCAAUCUUUAGAACAACACUCAGAUAUGACAGAGAUUUUAGAACUACCAGAGAGGGAAUUUUAAUUUUUAAAUAACUUAUAACAACAUUAAAGGCUCUAAUGAGCAAGGUAGUCAUCAUUCAAGACCAGAUAUGUAAUUUUAAGAGAGAUAUGGAAACUAUAAUAAACAGUCAAAUGAAAAUGCUAGAAAAUUAAAAAAAAAAACACAUGGUAACAGAAAUGAAGAGAGCCUUCAAAGAAUCAGGAGAGGUCAUGGGAGGACACAGUGAGAAGGUGGCCAUCUAUAAGGCAGGACUAGAGCCUUCACCAGAAACCAACCAUGCUGGCACCCUGAUCUCAGAUGGCCAAUCUACAGAACUGGUAACCUAAGCAGAUUAAGACAUUUACAAUAAAGGAGCAAAGACAAGAAUGACAGCAAACUUGUCAGAAACCAG
This is a long non-coding RNA of Mustela lutreola (European mink), 584 nucleotides long. RefSeq lists it as uncharacterized. The transcript has 2 exons. The record is from RefSeq and is a predicted model, not a curated record. NCBI's taxonomy places the organism in Eukaryota, Metazoa, Chordata, Mammalia, Carnivora, Mustelidae.